AGCCCGCGCCCCAGUCUCGUUUCCGCCGGCGACGAGCAUUCGGAGGAGGGUCCUGGUCGCGUGGCUGACGUCUGCAGUCGACCCAGGCCACCUCCCGAAAUCCGCGGACAUCCACGCCGUCCCGCAGUGUCGGCCCUCUCCGCCGCCGUCCCGAGCCGUUGGUCGCGGCACCCAGGAGUGUCAUGUGACUGCUGUCCCAUGAAUGAGAAAUGUCCUCAGGGAGAUCCUGGAUUAUGAGAUGCCAGACUUGUUAGCAACAAAUUGAUCACAGUUGGCACAUAGGAUAACACGGAUGUUACUCAUGAUCACAGACGAUCUGUAGACCCCUUCCUGGAGUUAAGUUGUUCUUGUUCCUGCGACGGCAGUGUGGCCAUUCAGGUACUCAUGGUAACAGCCCGCAUUGUCGGUGCUCUAAUCUGCUAGCUACUGUGCCGUGUUCUGUGCCCCGGGGCCUGCUACGAGUGCCCAUUGAUGGCUUGUCCCUUGCAGAUGGGUCUGCGGGUGCAGAGGUGCCAUGGGAGACGGCAGCCAUCUUCAUGUCAGUCUCCAUAUCAGCCGGGCGCUAGACCAUGGGGUCCUGAGGUGUGUUCUGUCGGAGGCACACAGCUGUGGCGCUGCCUUCACUCUGUAGACUCAGGAGAUGCAACAUGGUGCCCCUGAAAGGCAUGUCUUGGCUGAGGUGCUACCUAGUUUGGUGUGCAUACACUGGGAGCUUGGGCCUGGCUGAUCGGGGCCCUCUUGGUGAUGUCGCUUGGGGAGAAGAUGGCACUAGAGGCUGAAUGCUUGUAUGCUUCCUCCUAGGCCAGCCCUAGAUCACAGACUGUUGAAGAAAGUCCCACGGCCAUGAACCAGUGACCCUCGGGAUGAUUUGGGAGCUGGGUUUCCUGAUAUUUCUCACCAAAAUUCUCUCGGUGUUUGUGGAGACCAGAGGGGCCAAGAAUUGAGAGGCAGGUCCCCACAUGAAGCCUCACCACAGCUCUCCCCUCUGCCCACUCAGAGCAUCACGGACAGCUUCACUCCACACAAGAGAUCAGAGGGAAGCUUGGGGUCCACUUCAACCAGCUCUGCUUCUUGACAGCAGCACCCUUAGAGGGCCAGCCCAUGUCCCUCAUCCAUGCCCGAAUGACUUUAGUAGCCAAGAAUUUUUCUCUUGAAUUUGUAGCUGCUCAUCACUUUCCUCCACCACCCAUUUAAUAAACCUGACCACCGUGCCCUGUCUGCCUUUUAAAUCAGCAUCAAGCCACGUGCCAGCAAGGCUGGGCCUGGAGAAAGUGGGUCACGGGCCAGAUCUCGUUUUCAGUCCUGGCGUGUUCUCACUCUCCUGAGGCGUGGCACGAGUAGUUGUUUGAAGUGUUCAGUUAGGACUAGGAGGUGAACAAGGCAUGGUACUUGGUUCAGAUUUAGGACCCAUGACAGUUGAGGUGUUGAGGAGCAGUCAGGCCAAGGCUUUGGAAGGGUGGCUGGUGACAGAGUGGACUAGAGAGACGAUGCUGAUGUCAGAGAAAGUGGGGUGUCCUGGAGUUCUGGGGCUUGGCUCAUAAAAAAUGGCCUGCUGUUUGACCAACUGUCCAAGUUUGCCUGGGAUUGAGGGGUUUCCCAGGACGAGGGACUUGAAUUGCUAAAACCAGGUAAGUCCCAGGCAAACGGACGAGUUGGUUAACUUAUCUGGGGUGUAAAAUAAAGGUGGGAGCAGGGUGAAUGAAGCAGCUGCUGUUGGACCCUGGUGUCCUCAGGGUCAGGCUUUUUGGAGAUCUUUGGUUUAAAAUAAAAAACUGCCACAAUGUGA
This is a long non-coding RNA of Myotis daubentonii (Daubenton's bat), 1786 nucleotides long. RefSeq lists it as uncharacterized. Lineage: Eukaryota; Metazoa; Chordata; Mammalia; Chiroptera; Vespertilionidae. The transcript has 6 exons. The record is from RefSeq and is a predicted model, not a curated record.